Pogonomyrmex barbatus (red harvester ant) is the source of this 528-nucleotide long non-coding RNA. The record is from RefSeq and is a predicted model, not a curated record. Lineage: Eukaryota; Metazoa; Arthropoda; Insecta; Hymenoptera; Formicidae.
UAUUUUAUCCUUGUGUUCAUCAAUGUUAAACAAGAACAAAUGAUAUAUGAGGAGUAUUCGGCCCUGAAAUUGGUCACAGCGAAAGAGCCAAAAGAAAACUCGUUUAUUCUAUUCGUUCUUUUGCUGAUUGGUUGCACAUUCCAUUUUGCUGUAGAUUUCCACGCCAUGGAACACCAGCCUGAAUAGAUCGCAAUUCAAAGUGAACACACUCAUAAAGGCCUGUAUGAGAUUAUUUAGCAUAACCUAAAAUUAUUCUCGAAUUGUGUGAAUAUAGUUGGUCUUUAGCCAUCGAGUGAGUGGGACGUCUUUUGUCCUCACAUGAAUUUUUGUGUUGCGUCAUGCAAUUUGUUAAGGAUAAAGAGAAAGCUAAACGUGGAUAAAGAGAAAGUUGAACUAGAAUAUCACAGAAUACAGAGAAACUUAUAAAGGAUUUAGAUAAACCUGUGUUAUAUAACCCUAGGGUUGAAGACACAUAGUCGGAAUUAAUCCGACAUCCUCCAACCGGAGGAAAAGAGAAAAAAAAAAAAA